UUUGAGAUCGUUCGGAGUAGGUCCGCAUGGGACGGGUAAUGGCUUCAAAGUGCCAGUCAUUUUGCUGGAGGAUAUCCUCCCAGACUAGAGCCUUUGGAACAAAGACGGUGCUACGAUCUUUGUUUGCUUCCAUAAGAGUGGUAACCCCUUUAGGGCUAGUGAACCUAGCUUUAGGAGCUAAGGUAGUACCCAUAAGUCGAUAAUAUACACGGUAGAUUAUCGCUAUUUCUCGUGUGUUAUCCUUACUAUUCAUGUUUUUUGUUUUAACAUUUAAUGUCAAAACAUCCAUGAUGUUCGGAUCAUUGAUAUCAACUGAGAAAUUUGGGUAACAGUUAAAGUAAACCGGGCCAUCGGCGAGGUUACUUUGAAUUACGCCUAAGAGUGAAUCGUCGAAGUUUAACAGACGAGCAUCUCUUAGGAUAGCGCAGACAGGNNN
RNAcentral lists this long non-coding RNA (436 nucleotides) under Capsicum annuum. Its description in RNAcentral is "long non-coding RNA (CANN_LNC020510)". Lineage: Eukaryota; Viridiplantae; Streptophyta; Magnoliopsida; Solanales; Solanaceae. The record is from RNAcentral.